RNAcentral lists this ribosomal RNA (207 nucleotides) under uncultured bacterium. RNAcentral describes it as "partial 16S ribosomal RNA". It matches the Rfam family "Bacterial small subunit ribosomal RNA", at positions 568 to 774 of the family's 1533-position model. The record is from RNAcentral.
CGCGUAGGCGGCUUGGCAAGUGGAAGGUGAAAUCCCUCGGCUUAACCGAGGAACUGCCCUCCAAACUGCUUCGCUUGAGACCGGGAGAGGUGAGUGGAAUUCCCAGUGUAGCGGUGAAAUGCGUAGAUAUUGGGAGGAACACCAGAGGCGAAGGCGGCGACCUGGACAGAUACUGACACUCAACUACGAAAGCGUGGGGAGCAAACA